UACGAAGGGGACUAGCGUUGUUCGGAAUCACUGGGCGUAAAGCGCACGUAGGCGGAUGUGUCAGUCAGGGGUGAAAUCCCGGGGCUCAACCUCGGAACUGCCUUUGAUACUGUCGAUCUGGAGUAUGGAAGAGGGUGUGGGAAUUCCUGGUGUAGCGGUGAAAUGCGUAGAUAUCAGGAGGAACACCGGUGGCGAAGGCGCACACCUGGCCCGAUACUGACGCUGAGGCGCGAAAGCUAGGGGAGCAAACGGG
This 253-nucleotide ribosomal RNA is filed under the name uncultured bacterium. RNAcentral describes it as "partial 16S ribosomal RNA". It matches the Rfam family "Bacterial small subunit ribosomal RNA", at positions 524 to 776 of the family's 1533-position model. The record is from RNAcentral.